This 1223-nucleotide long non-coding RNA is filed under the name Trifolium pratense (red clover). Its description in RNAcentral is "long non-coding RNA (TPRA_LNC005330)". The record is from RNAcentral. Lineage: Eukaryota; Viridiplantae; Streptophyta; Magnoliopsida; Fabales; Fabaceae.
UUAAAUGAAAAUUAAAGAGAUAAGGAUGCACUAUUAGAUAAGAAUUACACAUGUAAAAACAUGGAAGUGAAAACGUGGUUUAACUUUCUACACAAAUGGGAGUGUAAAUGUGGUCUCCUAGUUGCCCAUACAAAUCAUCCAAACUCCCCUAUAAAUAGCAACCAUCACCCUCACCAGUUCUUCACACCAGCUCUGCUCUCCCUCUUUGCAUACAAUUGAAGUUAGUAAUUUCUUUCUUAUUCUCUCUUUGUUCUUUUGUUUGUUUUUCUUUUAAAUUCCUUUUCUUUCAUUUCAUUUCUUAUUUAUAUUAGCUUAGUUUCAUAGAGUCUUUCAUCUUUUCAUUAGCCUAGCAUUUGUUACAUAUACAUGAGCCUUUCCAUAAAAUUCCAUGAAGAACAAAUGAUCUUAGCUAUGCAACCUAGACAAUACCUGAAAUCAUGAUCAUAUACUCCAAGAAUGAUGAAAUUCCAUUUCUCUUGUUCUGCUUUUAUUCAAGUCUUGUGAUUAGGAACAGUUGUGUCUAGAAUUUAUUUCUAAAAUUUGACUCAAGCUGUUAAUUUCCAUACUUAAGCGUAUUUUAAGAACAAACUUUCGGUCCUCUGUACUCUUGUCCAUAACUAAUUGAAUGAUAUCAAACAUAUACUACAAGACUAAUAUUUAAUAUGGACACAUGGACUCAUGUUAAUCUUUCUUUACAAUAAUAAAGCAAAUUUAGACCGAACUUCUUAUAGGUACAUUUUAUUUAUUAGUUAUGANNNNNNNNNNGAUGAGUUAUUAGGUGAUGUUGGAGUUCAACGAAGUAAUUUAUCAAGAGAUUAUGGAAAGCUUCGAGGUAAGGGGAAUCACUAAUAAUAAGUUUCGAUGAGCACAAGAAAUGUGUUACUUGUAUAUAUAUUAUUAGUUAUAACUAGGGGUGUUGUGUACUUUAUAUUACUUUAUAUAGUAAUUUAUAUUCAUUAAGGUAUAUGCAAAAUGCAAAAUGAUGAGUGAUUGAUUUGGUUUGAGUUUAUGUGAAUAAAUCUUCUGCAAUGACAUGAUUUGAAAAUGUUUUGUGAAGAAGAAUAAAUAAAUUAUCUAUGUCUUUGGUUUGUUUAUUUAUAAUAAUAUCUAUAUGCUUGAGUAUUUAUGGUGAAAGUUUGAGGUGAUCUCAUAAGUUGUAUUAGGAGUGUUGAGGAUUAAUAUGUCUAAGUUAGAUAUUGACAAAGACAAAUUAAGUUGAAGAG